AAAUAAGUAAUUAAAUAACAUUAGUUUCGACCUAAUUAUAAAUGAAACCUCAUUCUUAUUUA
RNAcentral lists this transfer RNA (62 nucleotides) under Dipterophagus daci. RNAcentral's name for it is "tRNA-Arg". Lineage: Eukaryota; Metazoa; Arthropoda; Insecta; Strepsiptera; Halictophagidae. The record is from RNAcentral.